GAGUUUGAUCUUGGCUCAGAUUGAACGCUGGCGGCAGGCCUAACACAUGCAAGUCGAGCGGAUGAAGGGAGCUUGCUCCUGGAUUCAGCGGUGGACGGGUGAGUAAUGCCCAGGAAUCUGCCUGGGUAGUGGGGGAUAACGUCCGGAAACGGGCGCUAAUACCGCAUACGUCCUGAGGGAGAAAGUGGGGGAUCUUCGGACCUCACGCUAUCAGAUGAGCCUAGGUCGGAUUAGCUAGUUGGGUGGGGUAAGGCCUACCAAGGCGACGAUCCGUAACUGGUCUGAGAGGAUGAUCAGUCACACUGGAACUGAGACACGGUCCAGACUCCUACGGGAGGCAGCAGUGGGGAAUAUAGGACAGUGGGCGAAAGCCUGAUCCAGCCAUGCGCGUGUGUGAAGAAGGUCUUCGGAUUGUAAAGCACUUUAAGUUGGGAGGAAGGGCAGUAAGUUAA
Molecule: ribosomal RNA, 452 nt
Filed under: uncultured microorganism
Description: bacterial SSU rRNA
Rfam family: Bacterial small subunit ribosomal RNA
Source: RNAcentral